GCCUAAAGCCAUACCAUCCUGAACACGCCCGAUCUCAUCUGAUCUCAGAAGCCAAGCAGGGUCAGGCCUGGUGAUUACUUGGAUGGGAGGAAAAAGGAGUGCAUAGGAA
RNAcentral lists this ribosomal RNA (109 nucleotides) under Jaculus jaculus (lesser Egyptian jerboa). The record is from RNAcentral. Lineage: Eukaryota; Metazoa; Chordata; Mammalia; Rodentia; Dipodidae.